AAUGAACGCUGGCGGCGUGCUUUACACAUGCAAGUCGAGCGAGGCGGGGAGCAAUCCCCAGCCUACGCGGCGAACGGGUGAGUAACGCGUGGAUGACCUGCCCUACAGCGGGGAAGUAACCCGGGGAAACGUCGGGCUAAUACCGCAUACGACCGAGAGGUGAAAGGGGGCGUCGCAAGGGCGUCUCGCUGGAGGGAGGGGUCCGCGUUCGAUUAGCUAGUUGGUAGGGUAAUGGCCUACCAAGGCGACGAUCGAUAGCCGGCCUGAGAGGGUGAUCGGCCGACACUGGAACUGAGAC
This 298-nucleotide ribosomal RNA is filed under the name uncultured bacterium. Its description in RNAcentral is "partial 16S ribosomal RNA". It matches the Rfam family "Bacterial small subunit ribosomal RNA", at positions 28 to 325 of the family's 1533-position model. The record is from RNAcentral.